Molecule: ribosomal RNA, 549 nt
Filed under: uncultured Glomus
Lineage: Eukaryota; Fungi; Glomeromycota; Glomeromycetes; Glomerales; Glomeraceae
Description: SSU rRNA
Rfam family: Eukaryotic small subunit ribosomal RNA
Source: RNAcentral
UUGGAGGGCAAGUCUGGUGCCAGCAGCCGCGGUAAUUCCAGCUCCAAUAGCGUAUAUUAAAGUUGUUGCAGUUAAGAAGCUCGUAGUUGAAUUUCGGGAUCAAAUAAUCGGUCGUGCCUCCGGUACGUACUGGUUUUAUUGGUUCCUCCCUUCUGACGAACCAUGAUGUCAUUAAUUUGAUGUGGUGGAGAGUCAGGACUGUUACCUUGAAAAAAUUAGAGUGUUUAAAGCAGGCUUUAGCUUGAAUACAUUAGCAUGGAAUAAUGAAAUAGGACGUUUGAUCCUGUUUUGUUGGUUUCUAGGAUUGAUGUAAUGAUUAAUAGGGAUAGUUGGGGGCAUUAGUAUUCAAUUGUCAGAGGUGAAAUUCUUGGAUUUAUUGAAGACUAACUACUGCGAAAGCAUUUGCCAAGGAUGUUUUCAUUAAUCAAGAACGAAAGUUAGGGGAUCGAAGACGAUCAGAUACCGUCGUAGUCUUAACCAUAAACUAUGCCGACUAGGGAUCGGACGAUGUUAAUUUUUUAAUGACUCGUUCGGCGCCUUACGGGAAAC